UACGGAGGGUGCAAGCGUUGCUCGGAAUUAUUGGGCGUAAAGGAUAGGUAGGUGGUCUCAUUUGUCUGGGGUGAAAGCCUUGGGCUUAACUCAAGAAGUGCCCCAGAAACGGUGAGACUAGAGUCCUGGAGAGGGUCGUGGAAUUCCCGGUGUAGCGGUGAAAUGCGUAGAGAUCGGGAGGAACACCAGAGGCGAAGGCGGCGACCUGGACAGGUACUGACACUCAACUACGGAAGCGUGGGGAGCAAACAGG
Molecule: ribosomal RNA, 253 nt
Filed under: uncultured bacterium
Lineage: Bacteria
Description: partial 16S ribosomal RNA
Rfam family: Bacterial small subunit ribosomal RNA
Source: RNAcentral